GGAUUCCCCUAGUAACGGCGAGUGAAGCGGGAAGAGCUCAAAUUUAAAAUCUGGCAGUGUAUUCUGUCCGAGUUGUAGUCUAGAGAAGCAUCAUCCGUGCUGGACCAUGUACAAGUCUCUUGAACAGAGCGUCAUAGAGGGUGAGAAUCCCGUCCUUGACAUGGACUCCCAGUGCUUUGUGUUGUGCUCUCAACGAGUCGAGUUGUUUGGGAAUGCAGCUCAAAAUGGGUGGUAAAUUCCAUCUAAAGCUAAAUAUUGGCGAGAGACCGAUAGCGAACAAGUACCGUGAGGGAAAGAUGAAAAGCACUUUGGAGAGAGAGUUAAACAGUACGUGAAAUUGUUGAAAUGGAAACGCUUGAAAGUCAGUCGCGUUCUCUGGGAUUCAGCCUGGCUUCUGCCUGGUGCAUUUCCUAGUCUACGGGCCAGCAUGAAUUUCGACCGAUAGAAAAGGGCUUGAGGAAUGUGGCACCUUCGGGUGUGUUAUAGCCUCUUGUCGUAUGUGUCGGUUGGGAUUGAGGACCUCAGUGCACGCUUUUGUUGUGCUUUGAUGCUGGCGUAAUGGCUUUAAACGACC
Molecule: ribosomal RNA, 574 nt
Filed under: Ceratorhiza oryzae-sativae
Lineage: Eukaryota; Fungi; Basidiomycota; Agaricomycetes; Cantharellales; Ceratobasidiaceae
Description: eukaryotic LSU rRNA
Rfam family: Eukaryotic large subunit ribosomal RNA
Source: RNAcentral